GACAGCAGUAGCCACGGUAAUACGGAGGGUGCAAGCGUUACUCGGAAUCACUGGGCGUAAAGGACGCGUAGGCGGAUUAUCAAGUCUCUUGUGAAAUCUAACGGCUUAACCGUUAAACUGCUUGGGAAACUGAUAAUCUAGAGUAAGGGAGAGGCAGAUGGAAUUCUUGGUGUAGGGGUAAAAUCCGUAGAUAUCAAGAAGAAUACCUAUUGCGAAGGCGAUCUGCUGGAACUUAACUGACGCUAAUGCGUGAAAGCGUGGGGAGCGAACAGGAUUAGAUACCCGCGUAGUCCCUGUCUCUUAUAC
RNAcentral lists this ribosomal RNA (306 nucleotides) under uncultured bacterium. Its description in RNAcentral is "partial 16S ribosomal RNA". It matches the Rfam family "Bacterial small subunit ribosomal RNA", at positions 505 to 807 of the family's 1533-position model. The record is from RNAcentral.